Molecule: RNase P RNA, 418 nt
Filed under: Myxococcales bacterium
Lineage: Bacteria; Pseudomonadati; Myxococcota; Myxococcia; Myxococcales
Description: RNase P RNA component class A
Rfam family: Bacterial RNase P class A
About the family: Ribonuclease P (RNase P) is a ubiquitous endoribonuclease, found in archaea, bacteria and eukarya as well as chloroplasts and mitochondria. Its best characterised activity is the generation of mature 5'-ends of tRNAs by cleaving the 5'-leader elements of precursor-tRNAs.
Source: RNAcentral
GCAGGGGCCCAGGCGGUCGCCGGUGGCGCGCGAGCCGUGAGGCUCGUUCGUCGCGGGAGGAACGUCCGAGCUCCACAGGGUGAGGUGCCGGGUAACGCCCGGUGCAGGUGACUGCGAGGAGAGUGCCACAGAGAACAGACCGCCGGGCUCGUCGUUCGCGGCGCGCCCGGUAAGGGUGAAACGGCGGGGUAAGAGCCCACCGCGUCGUCGGCAACGACGAUGGCAGGGAAAACCCCACCUGGAGCAAGGCCACAUAGGGAGGCGACGGCGUCGAGAGGCGUCGGAAGGGCGACCCGCCCGGUGCCUCCGGGUAGGCUGCACGAGACCCGUGGCGACGCGGGUCCUAGAGGAAUGAUCGUCACCGCGGCGAGGGCGACCGAGCCGCGGAACAGAACUCGGCGUACGGGCGCCUGCGACC